AUUCACCAUUGUCUUUUGCGUACUUCUUGUUUCCUUGGUGGGUUCGCCCACCACUAGGACAAACAUAAACCUUUUGUAAUUGCAAUCAGCGUCAGUAACAAAUUAAUAAUUACAACUUUCAACAACGGAUCUCUUGGUUCUGGCAUCGAUGAAGAACGCAGCGAAAUGCGAUAAGUAGUGUGAAUUGCAGAAUUCAGUGAAUCAUCGAAUCUUUGAACGCACAUUGCGCCCUUUGGUAUUCCAAAGGGCAUGCCUGUUCGAGCGUCAUUUGUACCCUCAAGCUUUGCUUGGUGUUGGGCGUCUUGUCUCUAGCUUUGCUGGAGACUCGCCUUAAAGUAAUUGGCAGCCGGCCUACUGGUUUCGGAGCGCAGCACAAGUCGCACUCUCUAUCAGCAAAGGUCUAGCAUCCAUUAAGCCUUUUUUUCAACUUUUGACCUCGGAUCAGGUAGGGAUACCCGCUGAACUUAAG
Molecule: ribosomal RNA, 469 nt
Filed under: Alternaria alternata
Lineage: Eukaryota; Fungi; Ascomycota; Dothideomycetes; Pleosporales; Pleosporaceae
Description: eukaryotic LSU rRNA
Rfam family: 5.8S ribosomal RNA (bases 114-267)
Source: RNAcentral